UUUCGAAUAACUACCAUUCAGUUAUGAAUAAGUUUUGAAUAAUCUAGUGUACCUUUCAAAUAACUACUAUUCACUUCUGUAUAACAUGAAUAUGUGCUGAAUAAAUAUUAUUCAAUAAUGAAUAUCAUACAAUAAGUUCUGAAAAAUAAGUUAAAUUAAAUUAAUAUAUUACAAUUUUUUAUGAAUGAGCAUAUUAUAAAUAAGUGAACAAAAGUAAUCGAAUAUCUACUUUAACACUCUGAAUAUUUGUUCAACUCAUUCUGGAGCUACUUGCAUAUCCCUUUCUCGGACGAUCACCCAUCCCACCUUGAUAACUUUCACUAAACCAGUCAUUUUGUCUUGCUCACGGAUUCAAAUUCUUCCAUACACCAAAUGCAGCCUAAUCAAUAUAUCACAAAUUAGAAAAAACAGAAUUCAAACACAGAAUAAGUUAAUGAACAAAGAUCAAAUCUAUUUGAAUAAACUAAAAAAGUUAAAGAAUAUACGUAGAAAAUUUAUGAAUAGAUUUCUGGUGCAUCAUACGCCGCCUCAACUGUCUGAUUCGAGAUGCCAAACACUAUAAGAUAGUUUCUGAAUAACAUAUCAAACAUACUGAACAUAAUAAUACCUUUCCUGAACAAACUAACAAAUAUUCUGAAUAAUAUCUUCUACUUACUGAAUAACUUAACAAAUGCACCGAUCACAUAAUAAUUAUCUAAUACCCAAUUAAUAAAAAUAGCUUACGAAUAACUCAACAAACAUACUGAACAACAACACGAUAUAUACUAAAUAAACUUUACAAGUAUUCUGAAUAAGUACAACUAUUUUUGAAUAACCUGAAACAUAUACUGAAUAAACGUUAGUAAAGAAAAUCAGUUAAUUAAACUCAAUAAUCAUCCAAAAAUGAUUCAAAAUUCUCAAAUAGUACGCAUUUCCUAGUCUGAAACAUAUUCAACAAUUUUUUCAGAAUGAAAUAGAGUCAGCAAAAUCCACAUAAUAUUCAAAAUAAAUCUGAANAAAAAAAUUAAAACUUUAUUCUCAUAAAUAAAAGAACCAUAUCGAGACAAACCUAAAAAUCACAGAAGAAACCUAAUUCGAAACAAGACAUUCAAACAUCACCCGAUGAAACUGAUCAGAUUCAAACGAAUAAAGGGGAAAACAAAGGAGCCCAUUAGUAAAAACAAACAAACAGAAAAGAAAAGGGAAAAAGUAGUUUACUUGAGGGAGAAUGUCUGCAAUUGAGAUGAAAAAGAAAGUGAUUUGGAAGUCAAUGCAACAUUUGCGAGAGAUUUAGGCAAAGGCCGGUUCCCAAUUCUUGAUGUGGGCUGAAUAGAACAAAUCAAACACUAAAAUCGUUAUUCGAUCAUUGAUUUUCGCAGCUGCCAAAUGUUAUUUACCAACCAACAAGAACAAAUCAAACAAUAAAGCCUAACAAGAACAACUUACACGGUUUCAGACGGCCAAAUCCAGAGCUUCGCCGCCGGAUAACUGAAUAGUCGCCGACCAAUUCCAAGCGCCGUUGUUGUAGUUGGAGAGGAAUCGCCUCUGCUGUAGGGUAUCCGAAGUGUGUCCGUGGUGGUUUGCAAAAGUCGUGGGGUGGGGGUGAGAGUAAAUUCCUUAAUUACAGACGUUAAUUUAGGAAAGACAGUUCAGUGAAUAGACAAAAUGGCAUAUAUACCCUUCAGUGAUUUUUUCAUAAUAUCUUUGACUUAUUCAGGAAAUUAAAAAACGGGAUUAAUUAUUAAAUGGGUGUAAUCUCGACCCUUAAUCCGUUCAGAUUGUUUGGUUAAGAUUAAUUCUUUAAUCUUUGCACUAAGGAGAUUCUUUAUAGAUCUCCACCCUAUAUAUAUAUAUAUAUAUAUAUAUAGUANAUUAUAUUUGUAUUAUUUAUUCACUAAAGAAUUGAAUCUAUUCAUUACAUUUAUUUAUUCAUUAUAAUCAUUUACUUAUUCAAUUAAAUGUAAACAAUAUUCAACACGUACUCAUUAAAUUAACAAAACAUAUUCAUUAAGUCAACGCUUCGAAUUGAAACAUGCAUAAGUUCUGAAUAACAUGAAUAAGUUGUGAAUAAUCUAGUGUGCCUUUCGAAUAACUACCAUUCAGUUAUGAAUAAGUUUUGAAUAAUCUAGUGUACCUUUUAAAUAACUAAUAUUCACUUCUGUAUAACAUGAUUAUGAAGCUACUUGCAUAUCCCUUUCUCAGACGAUCACCCAUCCCACCUUGAUAACUUUCACUAAACCAGUCAUUUUGUCUUGCUCACGGAUUCAAAUUCUUCCAUACACCAAAUGCAGCCUAAUCAAUAUAUCACAAAUUAGAAAAAACAGAAUUCAAACACAUAAUAAGUUAAUGAACAAAGAUCAAAUCUAUUUGAAUAAACUAUAUACGUAGAAAAUUUAUGAAUAGAUUUCUGGUGCAUCAAGCGCCGCCUCAACUGUCUGAUUCGAGAUGCCGAACACUAUAAGAUAGUUUCUGAAUAACAUAUCAAACAUACUGAACAGAAUAAUACCUUUCCUGAACAAACUAACAAAUAUUCUGAAUAAUAUCUUCUACUUACUGAAUAACUUAACAAAUGCACCGAUCACAUAAUAAUUAUCUAAUACCCAAUUAAUAAAAAUAGCUUACGAAUAACUCAACAAACAUACUGAACAACAACACGAUAUAUACUAAAUAAACUCAAUAAUCAUCCAAAAAUGAUUCAAAAUUCUCAAAUAGUACGCAUUUCCCAGUCUGAAACAUAUUCAACAAUUUUUUCAGAAUGAAAUAGAGUCAGCAAAAUCCACAGAAUAUUCAAAAUAAAUCUGAAAAAAAAAAUCAAAACUUUAUUCUCAUAAAUAAAAGAACCAUAUCGAGACAAACCUAAAAAUCAAAGUUCUUAGAUGUUCGUCGGUUCGAACCGCCACGAUUAUCAGUAUUUCGCUGAUAAACAACCAUCGUCGAGCACUGCUUUCACCGAAGUUCUGUGAAAAAUGAAACAACGAGCGAGGUUUCGGAGAAGAUGCGAAAACAAACGAUUUCAACUCAAAUUUGUUCCGUCCAACAAAUGCUAUUUGAUCGAAAUCUAAAAAUUUCAAGCAACAUCUCCUGAUUAUUCAAUAAUUUACAGAACCAAAAACCCUUACCUAGAGGUGAUGCGCCGCCGACUGGUAUAGGUUUGUGAAAAUGAAUGAAUGAAUUUGUGGUGUGUGGGUGGAUAGAGUAAAA
Molecule: long non-coding RNA, 3180 nt
Filed under: Salvia miltiorrhiza (redroot sage)
Lineage: Eukaryota; Viridiplantae; Streptophyta; Magnoliopsida; Lamiales; Lamiaceae
Description: long non-coding RNA (SMIL_LNC007586)
Source: RNAcentral